UUUUGGGGAGUUUCUUAUGAGUUGUUAGCAUGUGUUUAGUACCUCAUGUGAGUCCAUCUGUGUAGGAUUGGACCUGAGGAGAGGUGUCUAGCUUCAGUGCUAGUUGACCCUGAGUUUGUUGAGCAGAGGCUUCAGGUGAGUAGAACUAACUUAAUCUUUUACUUUAAGAAAAUCAAAUGCCUAAAGCAUACUCAUACAUCAUGCUAUGUAAUAGGAUGAUUGCACUAGUUUCACCAUGCCCAUGCACCAUGUUUAUAUGUGAUAGGAUGAUGCAUUAGUUUCACGAAGGUGACGCAUUGCAUUUUAUUGUUUAUGUGAUGAUGAGGUGGGUGGACCAAGGCGACCUCAAUAGCCCGCAAGUCUGUCAAUGAGUCUUUGUCAAUCGGGCGAGUACAUGUAGGAAAGCCCAUGAGAGCUCCUUCGGGGCCAAGUUUUGACAGAGGGAAUGUUGGGGUCAUGUCUAACCCUGAGGGGAAGGACGUUACGUGAACCCUCUAAAAUCACCCGCAAGAGGAAGAGAUUUGCUAGCAUGAACUUAAGCGGGGGUGAGAUGUUUGUUGUGAUAUAAUUGUGAUAUGACGCAUGUCAUGAAUGCAUGAAUAAGAAGAAUAAUUGAAUUGAAUAAAAUGUCUUUAUAAUAAAAUACAUAAAAAGGGUGGAACAUUAAAAUGAAUAAUAAUAUACCUAAAAAUGGAGGAACUAAAUCAAAUGUUUUUUUCUCUGUUUCUACUCACUGGGCUCUUGUAGCUCACCCCAUUCCCUUAACCCCAGUUUUGCAGGGCCAGAGUAUGUCAAGCCAGAGUAAGUCAGAAGAACUAUGGGAUAGAAGAGGUUCAAGCAUGGGUUGCCAUGUUUGGUUGUAAUAGCUUAGCUUGUUUUGUUUAUGUUUAUGUUUAUGUAUAAGAGAUGCUUGUAUGUAUAUGUUUAUGGAUAUAGUGAACGUUAUGUAAGGAAGUUGCUAAAGAGAUGAUAUGUUAUGUAAUGCUAUGUAUGUUUGUUGCUUGCAUAGUUUAGUGGUGGACAUGAGCAUGAAAAUUUAUGGACAUGAUAGAUGGACUUGAUGUAUGGUCCUUAUGUAUAUCAAGAAUAUGAUGAAUGGAAAGAGUAAAGAGUAAUGUUAUAAAGAGAUAGAGCCAAGUUAAGAAAAGUAUAGAUAUGCCAUGUGUUGUAGCAUGAGAUGUAUAGCAUUGUGCUUUGCCUAGAGUGUUGGUAAAUCCCUUUUUGUUAUGCAUGAUCUUGAGAAAAUGUUUCAAAUGUUAUGAGUUUUGAAUGGCCCGUGAGGGAAGAAAGGGUUCCAAUCCCUUGACCCAAAGCGGAUAUGUUUUAAAGCAAGCUUGAUGACCCAUCUGGUAUGAGGUUCUAUGUUUGCAUGCAUAGGUCAAGCUG
Molecule: long non-coding RNA, 1386 nt
Filed under: Manihot esculenta (cassava)
Lineage: Eukaryota; Viridiplantae; Streptophyta; Magnoliopsida; Malpighiales; Euphorbiaceae
Description: long non-coding RNA (MESC_LNC006142)
Source: RNAcentral